This 227-nucleotide ribosomal RNA is filed under the name uncultured bacterium. Its description in RNAcentral is "partial 16S ribosomal RNA". It matches the Rfam family "Bacterial small subunit ribosomal RNA", at positions 524 to 748 of the family's 1533-position model. The record is from RNAcentral.
UACGUAGGCAGCAAGCGUUGUUCGGAAUUACUGGGCGUAAAGAGUGUGUAGGCGGUGCUCUAAGUUCGGUGUGAAAUCUCCUGGCUCAACUGGGAGGGUGCGCCGGAAACUGGGGUGCUGGAGCGCGGGAGAGGAAAGCGGAAUUCCUGGUGUAGCGGUGAAAUGACGUAGAGAUCCGGAGGAACACCUGUGGCGAAGGCGGCCCCCUGGGCCGCACCUGGACGCUG